This 425-nucleotide ribosomal RNA is filed under the name uncultured bacterium. Its description in RNAcentral is "partial 16S ribosomal RNA". It matches the Rfam family "Bacterial small subunit ribosomal RNA", at positions 354 to 796 of the family's 1533-position model. The record is from RNAcentral.
GUGGGGAAUCUUGCGCAAUGGGCGAAAGCCUGACGCAGCCAUGCCGCGUGAAUGAUGAAGGUCUUAGGAUUGUAAAAUUCUUUCACCGGGGACGAUAAUGACGGUACCCGGAGAAGAAGCCCCGGCUAACUUCGUGCCAGCAGCCGCGGUAAUACGAAGGGGGCUAGCGUUGCUCGGAAUUACUGGGCGUAAAGGGCGCGUAGGCGGACAGUUUAGUCAGAGGUGAAAGCCCAGGGCUCAACCUUGGAAUUGCCUUUGAUACUGGCUGUCUUGAGUUCGGGAGAGGUGAGUGGAAUGCCGAGUGUAGAGGUGAAAUUCGUAGAUAUUCGGCGGAACACCAGUGGCGAAGGCGACUCACUGGCCCGAUACUGACGCUGAGGCGCGAAAGCGUGGGGAGCAAACAGGAUUAGAAACCCCUGUAGUCC